UUAAAUCCAGAAAAAUCCUUUCCGCUUGAAAAAAAAAAAAAUCAUUCACCAACUAAACCAAAAUAAUAGUCAUAAAAUAACAUAGGUUCUCCUGCAUUUUCCGUGGCCGAAAUUGAGAAAAAGAGUGAAGCCUAAAACAUGGCUCAAUAUUUCCAGAGGCCGAAAACGAAGAACCCAAAGCCCAAAUCGAAUGCGACCUAAAAUUAGACCCAAAAUCCAAACCUUCAUCUUUGAAGUUGAUCUCAAAACAAAACCAUUUCCCUUCUCUCGGAGAGGCUAAGCUGAGAAAAGAUGCAGGCGAUUACCAGACGCUUAGGGCAGCAAUCUUUGAGGCCAACGGCUUCAAUCUCUUCUAUCAAGUCUAUUUACCCUCUCUCCGAUCACUAUGACGGAGUUGAUCAUUCGCGGUACGGAUCUACGCUGGCCGCUCACAAGGGCUUGGGCCAGCUUGUUCGGAAGGGAACCGGUGGCCGAUCUUCCGUUAGUGGCAUUAUAGCUACAGUUUUUGGAGCUACUGGAUUCCUUGGUCGUUAUCUUGUUCAACAGCUCGCUAAAAUGGGAUCUCAGGUGUUAGUUCCUUUCAGAGGUUCUGAGGAUAACCCUCGUCAUCUCAAGUUGAUGGGAGAUUUGGGACAGAUAGUGCCAAUGAAAUACGAUCCAAGGGAUGAAAAUUCGAUUAAGGCUGUGAUGGCAAAGGCCAAUGUUGUUAUCAAUCUUAUUGGAAGAGAGUAUGAGACAAGAAACUAUAACUUUGAGGAAGUGAACCAUUUCAUGGCAGAACAACUGGCAGUGAUUGCAAAAGAACAUGGUGGUAUCACGAGAUUUAUUCAAGUUUCUUGCUUAGGGUCUUCUCUGUCAUCUCCAUCAAGAUUUCUAAGAGCUAAGGCAGCUGGAGAAGAAGCUGUUUUGAAAGAACUUCCUGAGGCUACUGUGAUGAAACCUGCUGUAAUGAUUGGAACUGAGGAUCGAAUCAUGAAUCGUUGGGCACAAUUUGCGAAGAAAUAUAGUUUUCUUCCACUCAUUGGUGAUGGAUCUACCAAAAUCCAGCCUGUAUAUGUUGUUGAUAUUGCUUCUGCAAUCGUUGCUGCCUUGAAAGAUGAUGGUACCAGCAUGGGAAAAGUUUAUGAGUUGGGUGGGCCAGAGAUCUUUACUGUGCAUGAACUGGCUGAGCUUAUGUAUGACAUGAUCCGUGAAUGGCCACGCUAUGUAAAUGUACCUAUACCCAUUGCAAAGGCAAUUGCCAUGCCCAGGGAGGUAUUACUCAAGAAAGUGCCAUUUCCACUACCAAAUCCUGACAUCUUCAAUCUGGAUCAGAUACAUGCAUUUGCAACUGAUACAGUUGUCUCAGAUGAUGCUUUAACUUUUAUGGAUUUGGGUGUUGUGCCUCAUAAGUUGAAGGGAUACCCGGUUGAGUUUCUUAUCCAAUAUCGAAAGGGUGGUCCACAAUUUGGGUCUACGGUCAGUGAAAAAGUUAAUCCGGAAUAUUGGCCAUAAUUUCAUAUGGAUCUUUCAUUUCUGGUGUGUUUUUUGUCCUAAAAUGCCACCGAUUGGAAAAGCCUAUACUGGUUUUGCAGGGAUGGGCUUGUUUUCUUUGGCAGAAACUAGGAAAGAAUAAUGAAGGGGAAGGAUCCUUCAGUUAAUUCAUGAAUAUGUAUAAUUGUGAGAAAUAUUCAUCUCAUUUUUUUUAGACGAUCAUUCUUGGGGUUAUCUCCUGUUAAAAGAAACCAUUUUAUUUGUUUCUAUGGCAAUUAUUUCGUUGUACCCUUGCUUUGGGUUUUCCUCAAAUUCCAUGGUAGUAUGAAAUGCUGCAGCUAAAUGGUUCUUAAAUCCCCUUUCUGCCGUUCGUUGGUUUUUGGCCUUUCAAGUUUUUUUUUUCUUUAUUUUUUAUAGCCAGAUUCUGAUUACAUUAAAUCAUUAAUGAAAUUCUGUUCAUAUCAGGUUAUUAAA
RNA transcript from Durio zibethinus, 1947 nucleotides. It is a transcript of the gene named NADH dehydrogenase [ubiquinone] 1 alpha subcomplex subunit 9, mitochondrial-like, with no coding region annotated. Lineage: Eukaryota; Viridiplantae; Streptophyta; Magnoliopsida; Malvales; Malvaceae. The record is from RefSeq and is a predicted model, not a curated record.